This 606-nucleotide long non-coding RNA is filed under the name Salvia miltiorrhiza (redroot sage). RNAcentral's name for it is "long non-coding RNA (SMIL_LNC005809)". The record is from RNAcentral. Lineage: Eukaryota; Viridiplantae; Streptophyta; Magnoliopsida; Lamiales; Lamiaceae.
AUCGUUCAGCCACAGCCACAACGGAACGAGGAGAAAUGGUGGCUGCCCGUUCCCUGUGUCCCCCUCGGUGGCCUCUCCGAGAAAAGCAAGAAACAUCUGAGGCAGAAGCACGACCGUGCCAGCCAGAUUCACAAGGCAGCAAUGGCGAUAAACAGUGGGAUUCUUUCUGAAAUGCAGAUUCCAGAAUCAUACAUGUCUUCCCUGCCAAAGGUACUGAUUUGAAAAAUUCUUGAUUCUGUAAAAAAUUCUGCAAAGAAAAGAUGCUAAACAGUUUCUGCAAUUAUACUCAGAGUGGAAAAGCAAUUGUGGGGGAUACAAUCUACCGCUACAUGUACAAUGCAGAGAAGUUCUCACCUGAUCAUCUGCUUGAUUCUCUCAACAUAAGCUCCGAGCACGAAGCCCUCGAGCUGGCAGACAAAGUGGAGGCUUCCAUGCACACGUGGCGAAGGAAAAUGUGCGUUGCUCACUCGAAAUCAUCAUGGGACGUGGUUAAAGAUCUUGUGUCCGACAUAGACAGGAACGACAAGAAUCAUGUCUUGGCAGCAAGAUCCGACACGCUCUUGUUCUGCUUGAAGCAGAGAUAUCCCGAGCUUUCACAAACUACAC